This 1987-nucleotide long non-coding RNA is filed under the name Triticum aestivum (bread wheat). RNAcentral's name for it is "long non-coding RNA (TAES_LNC002564)". Lineage: Eukaryota; Viridiplantae; Streptophyta; Magnoliopsida; Poales; Poaceae. The record is from RNAcentral.
GAUUCUUGGGUGGAUUAAGAAUGUUGUAAUGUUUAACUCAUUUGAAACUUUAUGCCCCUCAAUAUUCUUUAUUCCAAAGUUGGAAUGGAAGACCACAAACCAACAAACAUGUAAACAUUAACAUGAAUAUUCUUGCAUGUAAUCUGCUUUCUUUGGACACUCCUGGCUUGAUUACGGCAUGAUCAUAACUUAGGUUUGUCUUGGCGCUUGUGAAACAAUUUCUAUAUAUAUUUGAGUUUCUAUAUAUCCUUGCUAUAUAUCUUUGUAUAUGCCUCGAUCGAUUUGCACCUUUCGGAAAUCGAUCUCGACUGAACAAAAUCUCAGUACAUGUAGAAUUAGCAAAACUUUACUUCUAUGUGGAAAUUAGUAUGAUGAUCAUUGGAUGGAGGUAUAUUUUUUUUUUGAAAAGGGGAAUUCCCGGCCUCUGCAUCAGAAAGAUGCAUACGGCCAUCUUAUUAGCCAAAUAGAUAAGUAUCUACAUGGUUCGAAAGGUCGCCAAAAGUAAUAAAAAAGUACAGAAAGCUCACACAGAGCCUAAAAAAAGGCUAGAAACACCCACUAGCCAAGACAAGAUGCCACAACCGGCCGGCCCAAAGUAGAUAGGGAAACUAAAUACCUAUCCUAUUACAUGACCGCCAUCCAAACCGGUUGAAGAUAUCCCGAGCUACCAUCUCCCAGCGGAAAGACCCAGUAACCAAAUGCUCCCUGGCCGCCGUCUGGGUGAGUAGCGACCACGAACGGAUCAGUGCCGUAGAUCGGAAAAUGACCUGCAAAAAAUGUAUACAUGAUAAUCUGUUAAAGACCAAAUCAUUUCUGCAAGUCCAGAGAGUCCACAGCAAAGCACAAACUCCAACCCGAAUAUGUCUCGCUAAGCCAGGCUCAAUCCCAUUAAGCCAAGUCCCAAAUAACGCAUUCACAGAAUUCGGUGGAGUGAUAUUAAAGGCAAUGUGGACUGUCUGCCAAAGUACCUUGGCCAACGGGCAAUCAAAAAAGAGGUGUUUGAUAGUCUCAUCCCGAUCGCAGAAACUACACCUAGUAGGUCCUGUCCAAUUACGCUUUAUCAAAUUAUCCUUAGUUAAAAUAACUUGUUUAUGGACAAACCACAUAAACACUUUUAUUUUCAAAGGAACUUUGACGUCCCAAACAUUUUUAGAUGUAGGAAUGGAGUUCAAAUUGAUAACAUCAAUAUACAUUGAUUUAACCGUGAAAACUCCAGACUUACUCAAUUUCCAGCGUAAUUCAUCGGGUUGUUGUGAAAGCUGGACAUCCAUCAGUCUCCUAACUAGAUGGAGCCAUUCUUCCCAACGAUUGCCCGCUAGCGUUCGACGGAACUGUAUAUUAAGGGGAGUGGUUUGAAAGACCGAUGCGACGAAUACCUCACGUCGUUGAACUAUGCGGUAUAAAGACGGAUAUUGGAUGGCUAGGGGUGUGUCGCCGAGCCAAGUAUCCUCCCAGAAACGUGUACUCGAGCCGUUUCCAAUAACAAACUUCGUCCUAUUAAAUAAGGCCUGUUUGACUUUCAUCAGGCCUUUCCAGAAAGGCGAAUCGGUCGGCCUGACUAUAACCUGGGACAGAGUUUUUGUCUGGAGGUAUUUGCUGCGAAGGAUUUGAGCCCACAUAGGUAUAUACAUACAUCUUAUAAUGAAAUGUACACUUGGAAUUAAGAUUCAGCAAUUCUGUGACUUGUCAUGAAGUAGUUUACUACACCAAACCAUAGUUUUCUAUCCAGUAUUUUUCUCUUUUGUGUUAUUACUUACUACUGGUUGGAACACCUGGUAUUUCGGAAGGAAUGGGAAAACAUCUAUGAAGUAACUUGUUUUAGUCCAAUUUAUAUCUCUAUAGUUUAUCUUCCAGUUAUGUUUGGAUUUCAUUUCCAUUUAUUUAUAAGCCUACUGAUUAUUGUAUCGUUGAGAAGUAUGGGCAAGGCAACAUGGUCCAUCUUGGUGGAAGCCUUGCCAUUCUCUCCACGACAUACUGAUGUUAUGCA